Molecule: transfer RNA, 77 nt
Filed under: Echinostoma caproni
Lineage: Eukaryota; Metazoa; Platyhelminthes; Trematoda; Plagiorchiida; Echinostomatidae
Rfam family: tRNA
About the family: Transfer RNA (tRNA) molecules are approximately 80 nucleotides in length.
Source: Rfam by way of RNAcentral
GGCCUCGUAGCUCAGCUGGUGGAGCAUGCGCGUACAAAGCGUAGGUGCAUGCGUGGGUUCGAGUCCCACCGAGGCUA